ACACGUAGGUAACCUACCCUCAGGACUGAGAUAACCCCGGGAAACUGGGGCUAAUAUUAGAUAGAUAAAAGAUACUGGAAUGUUCUUUUAUCCAAAGCUUUUGCACCUGAGGAUGGGCCUGCGUCCGAUUAGGUUGUUGGUGGGGUAAUGGCCCACCAAGCCUACGAUCGGUACGGGCAGUGAGAGCUGAAGCCCGGAGUUGGGGACUGAGACAAGGCCCCAGGCCCUACGGGGCGCAGCAGGCGCGAAACCUCUGCAAUGCGGGAAACCGUGACAGGGGGAUCCCAAGUGCUCAUGCAUUGCAUGGGCUGUUCUUUGGUCUAAGUAACCAGAGGAGUAAGAGCUGGGCAAGACCGGUGCCAGCCGCCGCGGUAAUACCGGCAGCUCAAGUGGUAGCCGCGAUUAUUGGGCCUAAAGCGUUCGUAGCCGGAUAAGUAAGUCUUUGGUUAAAUCCUGCGACUUAACCGUGGGAAAUCUAGAGAUACUGCUUGUCUUGAGACCGGGAGAGGUUGGAGGUACUCC
This 522-nucleotide ribosomal RNA is filed under the name uncultured archaeon. Its description in RNAcentral is "bacterial SSU rRNA". It matches the Rfam family "Archaeal small subunit ribosomal RNA", at positions 96 to 621 of the family's 1478-position model. The record is from RNAcentral.